ACGCGAAAUCCCCCUUCGGGGAGAAGUAGAGUGGCGCACGGGUGAGUAACACGUAGGUAAUCUACCUCUGGGUGGGGAAUAACAGCCGGAAACGGCUGCUAAUACCGCAUAACGCAGCGGCACCACAUGGUGACAGUUGUUAAAGCGGGGGAACUUCGGUCCUCGCGCCUGGAGAGGAGCCUGCGGCGGAUUAGCUAGUUGGCAGGGUAACGGCCUACCAAGGCUUCGAUCCGUAGCCGGCCUGAGAGGGCGGUCGGCCACACUGGCACUGACAUACGGGCCAGACUCCUACGGGAGGCAGCAGUCGGGAAUUUUGGGCAAUGGGCGAAAGCCUGACCCAGCAACGCCGCGUGGAGGAUGAAGUUUCUCGGAAUGUAAACUCCGUAAGAGUGGGAAGAAUAAGGAGGGGUUAAUACCCCCUUCGAUGACGGUACCAUUCGUAAGCUCCGGCUAACUCCGUGCCAGCAGCCGCGGUAAUACGGGGGGAGCAAGCGUUGUUCGGAUUUACUGGGCGUAAAGGGCGCGUAGGCGGCGCAACAAGUCACUUGUGAAAUCUCCGGGCUUAACCCGGAGCGGCCAAGUGAUACUGUCGUGCUAGAGUGCGGAAGGGGCUACUGGAAUUCUCGGUGUAGCGGUGAAAUGCGUAGAUAUCGAGAGGAACACCUGCGGCGAAGGCGGGUAGCUGGGGCGACACUGACGCUGAGGCGCGAAAGCUAGGGGAGCGAACGGGAUUAGAUACCCCGGUAGUCCUAGCC
Molecule: ribosomal RNA, 755 nt
Filed under: uncultured bacterium
Lineage: Bacteria
Description: bacterial SSU rRNA
Rfam family: Bacterial small subunit ribosomal RNA
Source: RNAcentral